GACGAACGCUGGCGGCGUGCCUAAUACAUGCAAGUCGAGCGGACUGAUUAAGAGCUUGCUCUUAUGACGUUAGCGGCGGACGGGUGAGUAACACGUGGGCAACCUGCCCUGUAGAUCGGGAUAACACCGAGAAAUCGGUGCUAAUACCGGGUAAUAUCUGAGAUCACAUGAUCUUAGGUUAAAAGAUGGCUCCGGCUAUCACUACAGGAUGGGCCCGCGGCGCAUUAGCUAGUUGGUAAGGGAAUGGCUUACCAAGGCGACGAUGCGUAGCCGACCUGAGAGGGUGAUCGGCCACACUGGGACUGAGACACGGCCCAGACUCCUACGGGAGGCAGCAGUAGGGAAUCUUCCGCAAUGGACGAAAGUCAGACGGAGCAACGCCGCGUGAGUGAUGAAGGGUUUCGGCUCGUCAAGCUCUGUUGUUAGGGAAGAAACAGUACCGAACGAACUAGGUCGGUACCUUGACGGUACCUAACCAGAAAGCCACGGCUAACUACGUG
This 500-nucleotide ribosomal RNA is filed under the name uncultured bacterium. RNAcentral's name for it is "partial 16S ribosomal RNA". It matches the Rfam family "Bacterial small subunit ribosomal RNA", at positions 28 to 507 of the family's 1533-position model. The record is from RNAcentral.